UUUUAAUAGCUUAUAUUAGAGCAUAAUAUUGAAGAUAUUAUGGAGAAUUUAUUUCUUAGAAUAU
RNAcentral lists this transfer RNA (64 nucleotides) under Plateros sp. UPOL A00502. RNAcentral describes it as "tRNA-Phe". The record is from RNAcentral. Lineage: Eukaryota; Metazoa; Arthropoda; Insecta; Coleoptera; Lycidae.